RNAcentral lists this ribosomal RNA (811 nucleotides) under Rothia sp. C158-PCA-T3P21. RNAcentral describes it as "bacterial SSU rRNA". It matches the Rfam family "Bacterial small subunit ribosomal RNA", at positions 56 to 874 of the family's 1533-position model. Lineage: Bacteria; Bacillati; Actinomycetota; Actinomycetes; Micrococcales; Micrococcaceae. The record is from RNAcentral.
UGCAGUCGACGAUGAAGCCCAGCUUGCUGGGCGGAUUAGUGGCGAACGGGUGAGUAAUACGUGAGUAACCUGCCUUUAACUCUGGGAUAAGCCUUGGAAACGGGGUCUAAUACCGGAUACGACCAACCUUCGCAUGAGGUGUUGGUGGAAAGGGAUUUUGUACUGGUUUUAGAUGGGCUCACGGCCUAUCAGCUUGUUGGUGAGGUAACGGCUCACCAAGGCGACGACGGGUAGCCGGCCUGAGAGGGUGACCGGCCACACUGGGACUGAGACACGGCCCAGACUCCUACGGGAGGCAGCAGUGGGGAAUAUUGCACAAUGGGCGCAAGCCUGAUGCAGCGACGCCGCGUGAGGGAUGACGGCCUUCGGGUUGUAAACCUCUUUCAGCAGGGGAGAAGCGAAAGUGACGGUACCUGCAGAAGAAGCGCCGGCUAACUACGUGCCAGCAGCCGCGGUAAUACGUAGGGCGCGAGCGUUGUCCGGAAUUAUUGGGCGUAAAGAGCUUGUAGGCGGUUUGUCGCGUCUGCUGUGAAAGCCCGGGGCUUAACCCCGGGUUUGCAGUGGGUACGGGCAGACUAGAGUGCAGUAGGGGAGACUGGAAUUCCUGGUGUAGCGGUGAAAUGCGCAGAUAUCAGGAGGAACACCAAUGGCGAAGGCAGGUCUCUGGGCUGUAACUGACGCUGAGAAGCGAAAGCAUGGGGAGCGAACAGGAUUAGAUACCCUGGUAGUCCAUGCCGUAAACGUUGGGCACUAGGUGUGGGGAACAUUCCACGUUUUCCGCGCCGUAGCUAACGCAUUAAGUGCCCCGCCU